Molecule: ribosomal RNA, 459 nt
Filed under: uncultured bacterium
Lineage: Bacteria
Description: partial 16S ribosomal RNA
Rfam family: Bacterial small subunit ribosomal RNA
Source: RNAcentral
CCUACGGGUGGCAGCAGUGAGGAAUAUUGGUCAAUGGGAGAGAUCCUGAACCAGCCAAGCCGCGUGAGGGAAGACGGCCCUAUGGGUUGUAAACCUCUUUUGUCGGAGAACAAAACCCGGGACGUGUCCCGGACUGCGUGUAUCCGAAGAAAAAGCAUCGGCUAACUCCGUGCCAGCAGCCGCGGUAAUACGGAGGAUGCGAGCGUUAUCCGGAUUUAUUGGGUUUAAAGGGUGCGUAGGCGGGCCUUCAGGCCGGCGGUAAAAUUGCGGGGCUCAACCCCGCCGAGCCGUCGGAACCGGGGGCCUUGAGUACCGGAGAAGUACGCGGAAUGCGUGGUGUAGCGGUGAAAUGCAUAGAUAUCACGCAGAACCCCGAUUGCGAAGGCAGCGUACCGGCCGGUCACUGACGCUGAGGCACGAAAGCGCGGGUAUCGAACAGGAUUAGAUACCCCGGUAGUC